AACGAACGCUGGCGGCAUGCCUAACACAUGCAAGUCGAACGAGACCUUCGGGUCUAGUGGCGCACGGGUGCGUAACGCGUGGGAACCUGCCCUUAGGUUCGGAAUAACUCCCCGAAAGGGGUGCUAAUACCGGAUAAUGUCUUCGGACCAAAGAUUUAUCGCCUUUGGAUGGGCCCGCGUUGGAUUAGCUAGUUGGUAGGGUAAAAGCCUACCAAGGCGACGAUCCAUAGCUGGUCUGAGAGGAUGAUCAGCCACACUGGGACUGAGACACGGCCCAGACUCCUACGGGAGGCAGGAGUGGGGAAUAUUGGACCAUGGGCGAAAGCCUGAUCCAGCCAUGCCGCGUGAGUGAUGAAGGCCUUAGGGUUGUAAAGCUCCUUUACCCGGGAUGAUAAUGACAGUACCGGGAGAAUAAGCUCCGGCUAACCCCGUG
This 433-nucleotide ribosomal RNA is filed under the name uncultured bacterium. Its description in RNAcentral is "partial 16S ribosomal RNA". It matches the Rfam family "Bacterial small subunit ribosomal RNA", at positions 29 to 507 of the family's 1533-position model. The record is from RNAcentral.